This 106-nucleotide non-coding RNA is filed under the name Rathayibacter sp. Leaf294. RNAcentral describes it as "ZMP/ZTP riboswitch aptamer (pfl RNA motif)". It matches the Rfam family "ZMP/ZTP riboswitch aptamer (pfl RNA motif)". From Rfam's summary of the family: Previously known as pfl RNA. RNAcentral also lists the same sequence under 1 other name. The record is from Rfam by way of RNAcentral. Lineage: Bacteria; Bacillati; Actinomycetota; Actinomycetes; Micrococcales; Microbacteriaceae.
UUGCCGCGUCGCGACUGGCGUUCGGAUGGGUGACCAUCAGGGAGCGACACCUCCUCCGGUGCAUUCUCGCCGGACACUUUUCCUGCCGCACGCCUGGGCCGGAACG